AAGUCGUAAAGGGUAACCGUAGGUUUUUUCCUCGUACCCGUAGAGUUUGCUUGGGCUCCCAUUCUUUUGCAGACGGGUGCCUAAUGCCUAGGAAUCUGCCCGGUAAUGGGGGAUAACGUUUCGAAAGGAACGCUAAUACCGCAUACGUCCUACGGGAGAAAGCAGGGGACCUUCGGGCCUUGCGUUAUCGGAUGAGCCUAGGUCGGAUUAGCUAGUUGGUGAGGUAAUGGCUCACCAAGGCGACGAUCCGUACCUGGUCUGAGAGGAUGAUCAGCCACACUGGAACUGACACACGGUCCAAACUCCUACGGGAGGCAGCAGUGGGGAAUAUUGGACAAUGGGCGAAAGCCUGAUCCAGGCAUGCCACGUGUGUGAAAAAGGUCUUCGGAUUGUACAGCACUUUAAGUUGGGAGGAAGGGCAGUCAGUUAAUACCUUGCUGUCUUGACGUUACCAUCAGAAUAAGCACCGGCUAACUUCGUGCCAGCAUCUGCGGUAAUACGAAGGGUGCAAGCGUUAAUCGGAAUUACUGGGCGUAAAGCGCGCGUAGGUGGAUCAGCAAGUUGGAUGUGAAAUCCCCGGGGCUCAACCUGGGAACUGCAUCUAAAACUACUGAGCUAGAGUACCGUAUAUAAAUGGUGGAAUUUCCUGUGUAGCGGUGAAAUGCGUAAUAUAAGAAGGGAACACCAGUGGCGAAGCGACCACCUGGACUUGAUUCUGACACUGAGGUGCGAAGUGGGGGAGCAAACAGGAUA
Molecule: ribosomal RNA, 753 nt
Filed under: Aquipseudomonas alcaligenes
Lineage: Bacteria; Pseudomonadati; Pseudomonadota; Gammaproteobacteria; Pseudomonadales; Pseudomonadaceae
Description: bacterial SSU rRNA
Rfam family: Bacterial small subunit ribosomal RNA
Source: RNAcentral